This 439-nucleotide ribosomal RNA is filed under the name uncultured bacterium. Its description in RNAcentral is "partial 16S ribosomal RNA". It matches the Rfam family "Bacterial small subunit ribosomal RNA", at positions 339 to 795 of the family's 1533-position model. The record is from RNAcentral.
CUACGGGGGGCAGCAGUGAGGAAUAUUGCACAAUGGGGGGGAACCCUGAUGCAGCAACGCCGCGUGGAGGAUGACGCAUUUCGGUGUGUAAACUCCUUUUAUAUGUCAAGAAAAUGACGGUAGCAUAUGAAUAAGCACCGGCUAACUCCGUGCCAGCAGCCGCGGUAAUACGGAGGGUGCAAGCGUUACUCGGAAUCACUGGGCGUAAAGGACGCGUAGGCGGGUUGGAAAGUCAGGUGUGAAAUCCUACAGCUUAACUGUAGAACUGCACUUGAAACUUCUAAUCUAGAGUAUGGGAGGGGAGAUGGAAUUAGUGGUGUAGGGGUAAAAUCCGUAGAUAUCACUAGGAAUACCUAAAGCGAAGGCGAUCUCCUGGAACAUUACUGACGCUAAGGCGUGAAAGCGUGGGGAGCAAACAGGAUUAGAUACCCCGGUAGUC